CGUAUGUGCUGACGGACACACACGGACAGCAACGGACGUCCUGUGUGUGCUGGCGGAGACCCACGGACGUCCUGUGUGUACUGAAAGACAGCCCUUGUAACACCCCGAUCCGGCCGACUAGGCCGUGGUCGAAGCCUUACGUCGCUCGGUCCACUUCCUGGCCGAACCUCUUAAUUUUUGCCCUUUAUUAAUAAUAUCGCCUAAAGGCGAGGGCUAACUUAAACCUUAGCUAAAGAUUUCCCUAGUCAUUAAUAGCAUAGAUCCUUUCAACAGAUACGCAGCGGAUUAUUCUCUAAUUAACCAUUGGUCUAAAACCAAUCUAGCACUUGUUUGGUCGAAUCACCUUAGCCUUGGCCAGUCAAUCCUAAACCCAAACCAAGCCAUACGAUUCUGAGGUUCCAUUCCCCUAAACCAUUCUAUCUAGAUCUACAUAAGUAAAUGCUAGAUCAUACCUUUGCCACAUCUAUGGAGCUUAUUAGCUCAUCGGUCCUCCAUUGACUUGAAUUGCUCUUGCUUAACAGCUGGAACACGAUCACUUAAUGAUCUUACUUAAGGUCCUUAUCUUGACUCCUGCAUCAAACAACUCCCCUAGGUACUUAGUCAUUCAACCAACCAUCCCCACAGACAUAAGUAACCUUUUAGAAGUCUUCGAAAGGAUAAGGAUAUGUAUUUGGCCUAUCUUGGCUCAAGCACAAUCCGAAAUCCUUUUGCCUUAUAGGGAAUAGUACCAAGUCCAUCUUCU
This 742-nucleotide long non-coding RNA is filed under the name Brassica napus (rape). RNAcentral describes it as "long non-coding RNA (BNAP_LNC025708)". The record is from RNAcentral. Lineage: Eukaryota; Viridiplantae; Streptophyta; Magnoliopsida; Brassicales; Brassicaceae.